AGAUUGAACGCUGGCGGCAUGCCUUACACAUGCAAGUCGAACGGCAGCACGGGAGCAAUCCUGGUGGCGAGUGGCGAACGGGUGAGUAAUACAUCGGAACGUGCCCAAUCGUGGGGGAUAACGCAGCGAAAGCUGUGCUAAUACCGCAUAAGAUCUAUGGAUGAAAGCAGGGGAUCGCAAGACCUUGCGCGAAUGGAGCGGCCGAUGGCAGAUUAGGUAGUUGGUGAGGUAAGGCUCACCAAUCCUUCGAUCGUGUAGCUGGUCUGAGAGGACGACCAGCCACACUGGAACUGACGACACGGGUCCAGGACUCCGUACGGGAGCAGCGAGGUGGGGAAUUUGGACAGUGGCG
This 352-nucleotide ribosomal RNA is filed under the name uncultured soil bacterium. RNAcentral describes it as "bacterial SSU rRNA". It matches the Rfam family "Bacterial small subunit ribosomal RNA", at positions 26 to 376 of the family's 1533-position model. The record is from RNAcentral.